Molecule: RNA transcript, 7549 nt
Organism: Numida meleagris (helmeted guineafowl)
Lineage: Eukaryota; Metazoa; Chordata; Aves; Galliformes; Numididae
Gene name: inner centromere protein-like
Exons: 20
Source: RefSeq, a predicted model, not a curated record
UUAACUGCGGGGAAGUGAUGGACGUGGGAGGCAGCCAGUAGUAGGCAGGGCUUCGCUGGGGAAGCACCGUGAUUGAUGGAAGCUGCGAUAUUUGGGAGCAGGAGGGGAGGGGAAGAGAGGCGUACUUGUGAGGGUACGGGGUUUCACGCUGGGCGGUGGCGAGGGGGAGUGCGAGGCAGGCCAUGGCAGCAGCCGACGGUCCCAUGCGGCUGCUGGAAGUGUGUGGGCAGAGACUUUCCAGGUUCCUUCACGAUGCUGAGCACAAGCACUUGGCCUGGCUACGGGAGGUGGAGGAGCAGGGCCUGAGGAUGCUGGAUAGCAGCAACUUCAGAGCUGAACCUGGCCUGUUGCCCAAAACGCCAUCCCAGAGGAGACGGCCUAGGAAGAGGCAGUCUUCAGCUCUGAAAGAUGAGAAUGAGCCAACCAGGAGGAGGUUGUCCAGAAGGAGGAGCAGUACCAAGCUAGUGUCUUCCAGGCCAAGUUCCCAAAGACGCUGCAGCAAAGAGCAACCCCAGAACCCUGGCUGUCAAGAGGAAGAGGUGUCCCCACCUGACUGUGCGGUGAGGUCUCAGGCCAACAUUGAAACGGAGCUUCCAGCACUGCCUGAGGAAUUGCCAGCAGAAGCACGAAGUCCCAUGGUGAAAGUUGAUUGCGAUGACUGCCCUCAGGCUGAGUUAACUCCAGAUCGAGACAGUGCUGAUUGCAGUGAUGCAGCCUGCGAGGCUGUUCCAGGGGAGCAGGUGCCUGAGGAGGGUGCAGUCAUUGAACUGUGCAAGGUGCCCACUGUCAGUGCAGUCCCUGAUGACCAGACAGGAGGGGAGGAGGAAGAGACCACCAAACGAAAAGCAAGUACUUCCACUCCCAAGGCUACUAGAAAUAGAGAUCCUGCCAUGCUCCAAGGAGAUCUGUCUUCUCAAGGCCUAGAGGAGGUGCUUUUCCAGGACUCCAACAACAAAAUGACCACGGUGAUAUCCAAAACACGACGUUCUGGACGCCGAAGCUGUGUGGGUGGCUCCCGCAAAAGCCAUAGGACCUCCUUGGCAGAAAAAUAUUCUCUGGCCAGCAAAAGAGAAAGCAUGAUCCGGAGAUCUAUCAGCAGGGCCAUUGCGAAGAAGGCAGCGGCACAAGAAUCUUCCUCUGCCUCCAGCAGAGUGAGCUGUCAAAGCUCCUUAGAGGUUUUUGUGGAAGAAGAUGUGACCAAUAACUUGAGACCUGGACUGGAACUGAACUCCCCAGGUGAAAAGGCUCCUGAAAACUUGCUCACUUCAAGCAAAAGUGAAAAAGCUGCCAGCCCUCCUGCACAGCACUUGUCUCCUUUUGAGCAGCAGACAGGGAAUAAUGAUGGAAGCUGUGUAAAUCCAAAUGGUGAACCUCAGAACAAGAACCAAGAACAAGCCCACUGUGCCAAGUCCCAGCAGAAUCCUUCACGCAUCUGGACAAGAAGCUAUAAACAAGCAAUGGGUGUUAUAUGGAAUGGGCAGCAUCCAGGAGGUUGUGCCCAAUCCCCUCUGGAUGACAAGCAUGUGAAUUCUGCAAACCAGACUCCACCUUCUGCUUCUCCAGCUAGCAAGGUUGUUAGACCACUGAAAAACUUCCUUCAGGCUGUGCAGAGAAACCAGCUACUCGCAACCCCUGGGCCCACAGGACGUGGGGGUGUCAUAAAGAACUUCAUCAAGCGCAAUACUCCCACCCGACCUGAUGUUAAGGGAGACUUUGUUGAGAAGGAGCGGCAGAGACUGGAAAGCCUCAGGAAGAAGCAGGAGGCUGAGGAACAAAGGAAAAAGAAAGUGGAGGAGGAGAAGAAACGGCGGCAGGCAGAAAUGAAGCAGAAGAGGGAAGAGCGACUGAGGAAGGCACUGCAGGCUCGAGAGCGGGUGGAACAAAUGGAAGAGGAGAAGAAAAAGCGGAUGGAACAGAAGAUUUUACAGAGUGAUGAAAAGGUGCGCCUCUCACAAGUGCGGGAAGAAAAGAUGUCAGAGGAACGGAGCAAGAAAAAACUGUCAAAGAAGCCUUGGGAAACCGAUGUACGGAAGCAGAAAACACUGAAGCUGGAGGAAGAUAAAUCUGAGCAGCAAGAACUACUGCAGAAAAGGAGAGAAAUUGGAGUGGAAGAAAAAGGAAAAGUUUUGGAACUGAAAAAGCUUGUAGAGCAGCGACAGGUGGAACAAGUGAAAGAGAGGGAUCUCAAACAGUGGGAGAAAGGAAAGGCCCCCCAUUCACAGACAGAGUCCAUGGUGCUAACUGAUGAAAACACAAAGAAGGGAGAUGGUCUGCAGGAGCCCCAGCAGCAGCUGGCAGAAGAGAAAAAGAUUGAGCAACCAGAAUCUUUUACUGCUGCCUCCAGCAUGUGGCUGAGCAAAACUGUAAAGAAAUCUAUCUCCGCAUCCUGCUUAGUGCCUCCAAAGGGCACAAAAGAAUCCAGGUCCCCCAAUAACUACGGGAUGGAUCUGAACAGUGAUGAUUCCACAGAUGAUGAGAAUGAACCUCGGAAGCCUGUCCCUGCCUGGGCCGAUGGGACUCAGCUUAAUCAAGCCAUUCUGCACCAAUACUAUCAUCCAGUGAAUGUUGACCAACUCUUUGGGUUAAUAGCAAGCCCUAAGCUGGAAGAUAUUUUUGGCAAGAGCAAGCCUCGGUAUUUCAAACGCACGAGCUCAGCAGUUUGGCAUUCUCCACCUGGGCCCAAAUCUACUUGUGGCAUAGCUUGCAACUUCAAAAACUGAGAAAACAGAAAUGUUUUUGGACAGCGUGACAUAUCGGGUUUUAUUUUCUUAGCAUACAGACUGCUUACAGUUUUAAACCUUUUCGUACAAAAAUAAAAACAUUGAAUAAAGUCCACCAGUGCUUGUUUCUGUCCUUUCCCCUUUAAGCUAGGAUGAUGCUGUAGCUUUGAGAUUGCUGGCUGUGGUUUGUGCAAGUGCAGAUGUUUGAAGAUAGCAUGUUGCUCCGUUACGUAUUUCCUCAAAUUACUUGCAGAAUAUUACCCAAGAAAGCUAUGAAACUGCUGUGGGGAAAAUAAUUUUUUUAAAUCAACAGUGAGGGGGGUGUAAUGUUUUCAUAACCCAUCCUGUAUAAUAGUUACAUAUUUAACAAUGCUUCUGUCCACUAGUGUCUUUCUUUUAAUCCCGCAUUUUUCUGAUCUUUAGUUACUGGACCAGAAUCUUUUUCUUCAUCUAGAAAAGUCUGUUCAGACUCUUGAAAGAAUUUAUAAAUGUCCUGUAAUUGCUUUGGCUUUUCUCGUGGAAAAAUAGAACCAAAGCAAAUUCUUAGUGCUGUUUUCCUAGGAGGGUUGAGGAUACAGUCUUGCUUUUAGGCAGGAGUCGGGUUUAUUUUAAAGCUGUGAGUUAGAAAAGGUAAGCAGUGAAGUGACUUCCUUCGGACUGCAUUGAGAUCAUCUGUUCAGUGCCCCCUGCUUGUGCGCACCCAGGGCUGUGCUGAGUGGCAGCAGACUCCCUGCAGUGCAUCCGGUGGCUCUGCUGCAGGUUGCCUAGGGACUGCUCUAGCGUGCUGGGCCAGCUGCAGAGCAUCCCAAGCUCCUGCAGAGCUGCACAGAGCCAGCUAUUGUCCAUGCUGUGCAUCUCCUGUCCUUAGGACCCCUGAAGGGCAAGCCCACGCAGUCAAUGACGCUCAAAGAGAAGGUAAGCUAGUUAAGCCCUGCAGAAUGCAGUUAUGAGGAAGAUGUUUAUAUGAAAAGGGAAAGUCCCUGAGUGACAGCCAAGUCCCACAUUGGCCAUAAUAACCAUUCCUUCUCCUCUCUUGGGCUGUGUUCACGGGUACAGCAGAGAGUAUAUCAUGCCUUAGGUGAUACAGUGUGGUGCUCUAGGCCAGCAAGCAGGUACAGGGCUGGGGCUUACUUAUUUCUCUGAGAGAUCACUGCUCGAGUGCCUAGAGAUUAAGAGCAUCCCCACUCCUGCUCCAGUGCAGCCCUGCACUGCCCUAGUGCUGGGCCAGUAUUGUGUGUUCUCUGUGCAACUGACCCCACAGGGGCAGACAUGGAAAUGUAGCUAGUGACCAGUUCAGAGCUGUUACGUUGCCCCAAGUCUUUUGGGUUUCCCCAGCUUUUCUGGUUCCUCUUGACCUCUCUCUCUGACUCUUGUCUGUGGGCCUCUCAGUGAGUCUUGCUUCUCUGGCCAGUCUCGCUCUGAUCCUCUUUAUGGUCCCUGGGCUCUGCUGAGCUAUUUCAGGCUCCUCUGAGCACAGACCCAGGCUCUCUCCUGCCAGCUGAUCUGUCACUGAUGAUAAUCCCCAAAUUACCUCAUUAGAGCCAAGAAGGCAAUGACUUCAGGAUCCUGGUAGAGGAGGAAGCUGGAGGUCAAGCUCUCGUUUGGAACUGGCCAAAUGUGCCUGGCUGGAGAAGGAGUGAGGUUUCCUGGCAGAGACAAAACAGGAGCUGUGAUUUAACAUCAGGCUUGGUGGGGAACUGGUUUCAUUUCAGACCAAACUCUGUGCCAGAGCAAGCAGCAUGCAGCAAACCACAAACCUGACUUUCUGGUGUUGAGCAGGAAGUUCACAGGAGGGCCUUUGCCAAAACCACGGCUGCUGUCAGAGCAUUUCAACUCUGGGACAGGUAAUCAUUAAAAGACAUGAAGCAAUUUCAGAGGAAGUGGCUGGGGCCAAGAAGGUGGCAGGGUCCUGCUGGGCUCUGAGGAAACCUGGGAGGUCUGGUUCCUAGUGUAGUACUGAUUUAGGCAUCACACUGGUGCCAUUCAUCACUCUUUCCUGCGCUGAGAGCUGUGCUGGAUCUAGAGUGACUGGAAAACUUAAGUGGGUUUGUGCUUAAUCAAGCUAGCUGCUUGUUGUGUAGUGGUGCUAGUAGCACCUCUAGUGCUACCAUUACUCUCCUAGUAAUGGGAGAGAAAACAGACCCCUGGGCCUGGUACCAUCCCUAGGGCAUGCUUUGGCCUUGGGAGGCAUUGCUACUGACCCCAGGAAUGAAUGGAAAUAUUAGAAGCUUGAUCAAAGCACAAAUCACAAUGAAUAAGCUAUGGAGAGUGGAGAAACACCUUGUCAUUUAAGGUGUGCUUUGGGGUGCUCCCAACUCCAGGGAGCAAACACUGAAGUUUCACAGAUUUUUCCAUUGUCUCACCCUAGUUUUCUGCACCCUCAGCUCUGUUCCUUCCUCUUCACGCAGGAGGAGGUCUUAUCUGGAUCUGUAAUGUGUGAACAUAGUUCAGUUCCAGGUAGUAAUUUCUGUGCUCCUCAGGAGGAUCGGCCCUGACCCUGUGCAACCAGAGCCUGGCAAUGCAUGUUGGAAGGUGCGUUUAGCAUUACAAGGAUCUCUUCCCAAUCUGAUGUGCAUGGAGUCUGUAACAGCUGUAUCUGCUUUUCUGUUUGUUGUUGUAUUUCCUUGUUCACAUGUCCCUGGGGGCAAUGAUGCUGAGAGUGGCUCCAGCUCACUCCGAAGUGAAAAAUACAGUGCAAAUCUCCUAGCUGUAAGUGGAAAAAUACAAUGCAAAUCUCCGAGCUGUAAGUGAAAAGAUGCCUAAGUGCAGCUGCAAGGCAGUACCCAGCAGUAAUGGCACAGUGCUGUAGCACAUGAACAGGAAGCCAAGCCAACCAAGCAGCAUCCUCUUGACCACAGAGCAAGGCCUGGGACAAAGAGCCAUGUUGUGUGAAAGGAUGAGCUGAAUCCACCUCCAAGAGAUUCCCUCUUUCUAAGCUUUAGUGUCAGGGCUGAGUACUGGGGUGAAAAAUGUCACCCCUGCUAAGGGAUGGUUCCAUCCCUUCUCAGGGGUACUAUAAUUCUUCCAUCUGACCUAGACACUGAAAAUGAGUUUUCUCUGUUACAGUGUUGUAGUAGAGACUCAUUAACUUAAAAAUGUGGUACCAAAUUAUAUCGACAGGAAGUGCAAUAAUAAGGGGUAGGCCCCUUUGACUUACAGUUCUGUCAUGCCUGAGGCUAUCUUCAGUAUCCGCAAAUAGGCCUCUCUCAUUUCUUUCAAUUUUUUUUCUCCCUCACAUAGGCUCAUCAGAAGAGUCAAAACACGUUCCUGCAGCCUUUCAGCGGGUGUGCAGUGUCUCUGCUGUGCCAGCAGGCAUGGGGAGAGCUGUGACCUGAGCUGGGCGCUUGCAUAUGCCCCAGCCCCUGCUUUGCUUCCUCCUGUAGCUCUCCAGCAACUUCUUGCCCUGCAUUAUCAUAAAGCUCCCAGCAAUAGGUGAAGGGGCUGUAGUCAAACCCCACAAACUCCUUGUCCAGUGUCUGCCAUCUUGCCCGUGCCUCCCAGGAGCACAUCAACACUCUCAGAUACAGGGUUUGAUUUUUGGGUGGUCCUGUAUGGAGCCAGGAGUUGGACUGCAGUGGUCCUUGUUGGGUCCCUUCCAACUUGGGAUAUUCUAAGAACUUGGGGUCUAGCCUUGGGCCCCUCAGCUUUCACUGAGCAAAGCAGCCACGUUGCAGAGCUGACUCUGCUCCAACAACACUAUCAGUCACAGUGUCCAGGGCAGUGCUGCCGCCACAGCAAUCUAACACGAGGUUUUUGGUGUCUGUCCAGCUGGCCUUCUCCAUCUGCCCUGAAAGAAUGAGCCUCCUCCCCUGUAGCUCUCCACACAUCCCACCAUUCUUAAAAUCCAGCUCUGAAAGGGCAGCAGUGCCAUUGGGAAAGCCCCAUCCCUGUCUGACACGUGCCACCAGCUGAGCCACAGUGUCCUACCACUGGGGAAGAGGCUGCUCCACCUGAAAGUCCCAAGUCUGGCUCAAGCAAAAAGCUUCAGAAGCUCAGGUGGUGUCAGGGCAAAGCACCUAAAACGUAGCAGACUCUAAAACUAGCAGUGGCUAGUGCCACUGUCAGGGGAAGGGGCGGGAUGGGGAGCAACCUUGGGGCCGAAAUUCAGGCUAAAUCGAGGCUCCUCCCAGCAAUUGGCAUAGUCCUGGCAAUGAGGAACAGCUGUAAGCAAGCGCUGCUUUUCUGAGACUGAACCGGCAAAAAUGAGGUAACGACACGCACGGCAUGAAAAGAAAUGGAGAGCAGGCGGUGCCCCACCUGCAGCUCCUGUCUGCACAACAGCCUUCAGUUUUGAUAGUGUUUGUAGAUAAAGGCAUCGCAGGAAGGAAAACCAUCUACUUCCUUACUGAAACUACAAAGACAAAUCCGACAGGAGCAAAACCUGCUUAGCUGAUUACAAAGUAUUGAGAAGUUGUAAAAUCCUACCUUGGCACGAAUGCGCUGUGCUGGGCUCAGAAAGCAGAUUUGGGUUCUGGCUUUCUGCCACCAGCUCGUAAUUACAAAGUGUCAGCUAAACUAAAAAUGUUUCUUGGAUGGAAAGAGACCCAAAACAAAGUCAAACAAAGCCCUUUCUUGAGCACGUGCACUAAAUGAAGUGGGCUACCAGGUGAUUCCCAUGAAAAGAGAUGAAGCCCAACCUGAGCAUAAGGUGAAGUCACUGAGCUGAGCUCCCAGAGGCCCUGCUCUGAGGGAUGAGCCUGGCUGGGGGCCUGUGGAUGCACAGGGGGCAGCCCCAGUGCUGAGGGAAUAUUACCAAUGCCUUCUUAAAAAAGCAAAGGGAGAAUGCAAACUUGGAGCAAUCAUCUGUAAAGGCAGCAUUUUUCUGCUUG